Molecule: long non-coding RNA, 243 nt
Organism: Clupea harengus (Atlantic herring)
Lineage: Eukaryota; Metazoa; Chordata; Actinopteri; Clupeiformes; Clupeidae
Exons: 3
Source: RefSeq, a predicted model, not a curated record
CAGAGUCCGGCCAGACAUGUGAAGGGCAUCAAAGAAAACUGGAAUGUGGUUCCAAUGUAAUCCGUAUCCACACUGCCAGUUACGGGCGAACAGAUAAAACCACCUGCUCUGCUGGACGCCCUGCGAAUCAACUCAGCAGGACCGACUGCUCUGCAUCUACAACGCUCCCUAUAGUAAGGGAGAGAUGUGAAGGAAGGACGACAUGCCUUCUGAAGGCCUUAAACAGCAUCUUCUCUGAUCCGU